UAUCAGCUUGUUGGUGAGGUAACGGCUCACCAAGGCGACGACGGGUAGCCGGCCUGAGAGGGCGACCGGCCACACUGGGACUGAGACACGGCCCAGACUCCUACGGGAGGCAGCAGUGGGGAAUAUUGCACAAUGGGCGAAAGCCUGAUGCAGCGACGCCGCGUGAGGGAUGACGGCCUUCGGGUUGUAAACCUCUUUCAGCAGGGAAGAAGCGAAAGUGACGGUACCUGCAGAAGAAGCACCGGCUAACUACGUGCCAGCAGCCGCGGUAAUACGUAGGGUGCGAGCGUUGUCCGGAAUUAUUGGGCGGAAAGAGCUUGUAGGCGGUUUGUCGCGUCUGCUGUGAAAAUCCGGGGCUCAACCCCGGACUUGCAGUGGGUACGGGCAGACUAGAGUAUGGUAGGGGAGACUGGAAUUCCUGGUGUAGCGGUGAAAUGCGCAGAUAUCAGGAGGAACACCGAUGGCGAAGGCAGGUCUCUGGGCCACUACUGACGCUGAGAAGCGAAAGCAUGGGGAGCGAACAGGAUUAGAUACCCUGGUAGUCCAUGCCGUAAACGUUGGGCGCUAGGUGUGGGACUCAUUCC
Molecule: ribosomal RNA, 584 nt
Filed under: Nostocoides sp. GN0406-11.ps.e
Lineage: Bacteria; Bacillati; Actinomycetota; Actinomycetes; Micrococcales; Intrasporangiaceae
Description: bacterial SSU rRNA
Rfam family: Bacterial small subunit ribosomal RNA
Source: RNAcentral